This 252-nucleotide ribosomal RNA is filed under the name uncultured Lactobacillus sp. RNAcentral describes it as "partial 16S ribosomal RNA". It matches the Rfam family "Bacterial small subunit ribosomal RNA", at positions 111 to 354 of the family's 1533-position model. The record is from RNAcentral. Lineage: Bacteria; Bacillati; Bacillota; Bacilli; Lactobacillales; Lactobacillaceae.
UAACACGUGGGGAACCUGCCCCAUAGUCUGGGAUACCACUUGGAAACAGGUGCUAAUACCGGAUAAGAAAGCAGAUCGCAUGAUCAGCUUUUAAAAGGCGGCGUAAGCUGUCGCUAUGGGAUGGCCCCGCGGUGCAUUAGUUAGUUGGUAAGGUAAAGGCUUACCAAGGCGAUGAUGCAUAGCCGAGUUGAGAGAAUGAUCGGCCACAUUGGGACUGAGACACGGCCCAAACUCCUACGGGAGGCAGCAGAC